AGAGAGGGAGAGGAAGAGGGAGAGCAACUACCAAAGCAAUCUAAAUUAGAUUAUAACACGAAAGAAGACCACCAGGCGAACACAGUUCCUGCUAUAAUUCACAAAUGAAGCAGCCCACGGCAUGUUGCUCUCCUCCACCAAAUCCAAAUGAGUAUGUAAAUGAACUUGCCACUGCAAAAAUAGAUAGCAAAUCACCCAAAUGAAUUUUAGGAAAAAAAAAAACGAAAUGAAUAAUCCCAAUUAUUAAACGCAUAACACUUAAUUGUCCAAUCAAUGAACCAUUUCCCUAUCAAGCACACAGCCUAAAGAGCACUAAUCAGCAAAACAAAAGAGGAAACAACAAAAGCAUAGCCCUUCAUCUCAAAAAGAAAAAAAAAGAAACCUAUAGUCUAUUGAGAUAAAAGGUUGAAGCCUUGAAAUCAUGACAAUAAUCGAAUUUUAGAUAUUUUGGGUCUUAACCAAAAAAACUCAAGUAAACAAAGCUUCAGCAAACUCAUCUGUCUUCCAAUUUCUUCAAAUUUCCUAGCAACCAAACAGCUUAAACCAUAAACACAUAGAUCAACAAAACCAGGACUGAUUGCAGAUCAAGAUUACAUUAAAAAAAUAAUAAUAAAUAAAAAUCCUAGCUUCGUAGCAAAAUUGACCAAUCAACAAUUAAAAAAUGAACUUGACACACCCACCAGCACAAACA
RNAcentral lists this unclassified non-coding RNA (691 nucleotides) under Hevea brasiliensis (rubber tree). Lineage: Eukaryota; Viridiplantae; Streptophyta; Magnoliopsida; Malpighiales; Euphorbiaceae. The record is from RNAcentral.